UUCGAAGCCCAGUUGCCGUGGAAACCGCGUGGGGCGCCUUCUUUAGUUCUUCAGUUGAGGGUACCCGGGGAUCAAGGGCUCGGGGGCUCACUUCCACCUUGAAGCUACUAGGGAUAUGGUUCAUUAGUGAAUGGAUGGCCACUGGAAAAAGCACAGCUUUCCAGCUGGUGGAACUGGGCCCAGGUGUUCACUCAACUUGGAUCUGUGCUGAAAAAUUGUGACAUUUCAGUACAUCUGGUAGAGGUAAGCCAAAAAUUAAGUGAGAUUCAAGCAUUGACACUGACUGAAGAGAAGGUCCCGUUAGAGCGAAAUGCUGGAUCCCCAGUGUAUAUGAAAGGUGUCACUAAGUCUGGGAUUCCAGUUUCCUGGUACCGAGAUCUGCAAGAUGUUCCAAAAGGAUACAGCUUUUAUCUUGCACAUGAAUUUUUUGAUGUUCUUCCUGUGCACAAAUUUCAGAAAACACCACAGGGAUGGCGAGAAGUAUUUGUUGACAUUGAUCCACAGGUUUCUGAUAAACUGAGGUUUGUUUUGGCACCUUCUGCCACCCCAGCAGAAGCCUUCAUACAACAUGACGAAACAAGGGAUCAUGUUGAAGUGUGUCCUGAUGCUGGUGUUAUCAUUGAGGAACUUUCUGAACGCAUUGCAUUAACUGGAGGUGCUGCACUGGUUGCUGAUUAUGGUCAUGACGGAACAAGGACAGAUACCUUCAGA
This 711-nucleotide small RNA is filed under the name Pongo abelii (Sumatran orangutan). RNAcentral describes it as "processed transcript". Lineage: Eukaryota; Metazoa; Chordata; Mammalia; Primates; Hominidae. The record is from RNAcentral.